CGAUGCACCUUCUGCUUCGACUUCCGCUUCUCGACUCUUCUGCUUUAUUCUGCUUUCCCUCAUCCAAAAAAAAUAAAGAAAAAGAUCGCUGCUUCUCCUACUCUCUCGCUCUCUCCAACAAUUUUAAGGAUUGCUGCGUGCUUCAGAUUGAUUUCUGGAAAUUGGAGGAACUGAUGAAAUUGGCGUUUGAAUUUUAGGGGAGGUUGAGUUCUUUAAUGUUUCUGAUGAGUUUCCUGUGUACGAAGUGCUUUCCAUCUCCCAUUUUCUUGAUUUAUUAAGGACUUAUUUGCAUUUUGUUGGAUUUGUAAAUGGGAAAAUAUCAAAGUGAGAAAGAAGCAGCUCUUGGUUUCUUACAGGGAAGCAUAUGCAGCACACCCAACUGAAACAUUGAGUGAGGUACUCAAGUAUAGAACCUGGGUAUCAACCAAGGACUGAUAUCAAUUCUACACCAAGUCCCAGAAGGUCAUGGUGGGGUAUAUUGGAGAGGAGGCGCUCUUCUGAAGACAAUUACAGAUCCAAGUGAUGUGCAUUGAGAAGUUGCUUGCAUAGGGCCUUAAAUUUGCCUGCUUCUCAUUAUUUCAAAUUUCAGGUUUUCAUCUCAAGUUGCCUCUGGUCACCCAUUUUGAACCCGUUCAAGUGACCCUACAGACUGAUCAGGUAACUUUGGUAAUCCAUGUUUGGAUGAUUGAGGAUUCUGUCUUUCCCUUCAUUAUAGCUUUGAAAGCUUCUGUUAGCAACAUUGUAGGUAAGGGAUAUUCCAUGCGGUACAAAAGGGAGUGUCAUGAUCAAACAAUUUUGAGAAGAUUGAGGUAAGGCUAUGCGAUAUUAUUCUUUAGUAUUUGUAUAUUAGUUUCACUUAGUUGAAGGUCUUGAAAAACUCCAUUUAAUAAAUCCAAAACGUGUAUUCCUUUAGGAGCCGUUUGAUAACCAUUUGGUUUUUAGUUUCAAGUUUUUGUUUAGAUUUAUUUUUGGGCAUUUAACAUAACUUUACUUUAGUAUAUGUAGAUUUAGUAUUAAAAUUUAGUAUAAAGUUAUAUAUUAUCUUCUUCUUAGGUUCUUCAAGCAUUUAGCUUCUUAGAAUAUCAUUUUUGAAAAAACUGGAGUAGUGCAUUUUUUAGUGUGGCCUAACUUCCUUUUCAUUGAAGUGGGAUUUUUGAGAGGGACUGGUGGAUCUUUGAAAAGGAACUUGGUAGAAAUUCCUUAUUACACUAUUCUGUCUCAAAAGUUGUGAAUUAUAUGCAGGUAUGGAUGUUGUCUUAGCAGAUCGUUGUUUUAAACAACUGACUCAUUUUUUGCUAUUACUUUUCAGAUUUUACUUAUGUAAAUACUCUCUCUUCAUUUUUCAGAUGGUUGACAAAUUGGAUGAUGAAACCAUGGCAAUAGAAUUUGGUCCAUCUGAUUUUAAAGAGGCCCUAUAAGGGUGUUGGAAGAGCCCUCUUCUGAGCACAUGUCGAGGGUCAACUAAAGAAACUUGGUUGCAAGGCAAGUUGGAAGCGCAAAAAAGUUUGAUCGCGUCCUAUAGAAUUGCCAGAGAAGGUCAUCUCCAUUUUGUGCAAAAUCAGACUUCUUUCUGCACACGAAAAUACUAGGUAAGCACGCAUCAUCCUUAUUUUGUUCAUGAUAUAAUUCUACAAUCUAUAAAUUUAUCUCAAUUUUUUUUCCUUGCCUGGGAUGCUUCCUUAAUGACCAACAUAGCAGAGCACAACUUUUAGUGUUGCAGUAAACAACAUUUCCCAUUAAUGUUUUUGGAUAGGAAGUGUUUUUUCGUAUCCAAAGAACUUCGUAAUAUUUUUAAUAGACGAAAUAGGUUUCUCUUUUGAUAUUUAAAUUUGUUUCAUUCAUGAUGAGGUUGUGUAUAAUUUGUAUUGGCAUUGGUAACUCAGUUUUUGACGCAAACAUUGUUUAUGAAGAUUGAAAUUGUAUAAUCUUUCAUAUAGUUUUCAAUCCCGCAGCGACGCGUGCGUACAAAUUUUAGUGAUCAUCUAAACUUCAUCAGUUCAACGUAUUGGAUUUAAAGUAAAAUGAUACCAACUUAGAGGAAAUAUUCUACCAAAGUUCUAGACUUCCAGGUACAAUAUACCAACACUAUCUGGAGCAAUAGUUAUGUCAUAAUUUAAUAUAUCUAGGGACAGUGUCAUACAUUUAUUUUAAACUUGUGGCCUAUCAUAGGACAGUAUACGUAUAUUUAGUUGGCCUAAUAUUUUUCUUUAAAAUUCAAGUCCAACUUAAUAUACGUAAACUACGUAGGAAAAUUUUAUUUGAAUCUAUAUAACCUCUUUCUACAUCCAACUUAUUCUUUACACCUAUAUAGUUUUUGAUUGAACUAUCAACAAAUGUCUCUUUAAACCCAAUUUUAUUACCUAAACUACUCUCACAAACUUAAUUUAAUAUGUAAAUUUAUCUUUACACUCAUUUUGAAAAUAAAAACUCAAAAUCAGUGUUCUACAAUUUGUUUUCCACAACUCGUUGAUUGAGAGUGUAAUGUCCAUGCAUCUAUGGAGUCGUGUUUGAUGAAUUGGUCAAACAAGCAAUCUAGAAUCGGGAAGACAAGAUUAGAUGAGGUAAUUAAUGUUAGAUUGUAGAGAUUAGCAUAGGAUUAUGCCAAGUGUUAUGUAUUAGAUGUGUGUUAUGUGUCACAAGUGUAUUAGGUGAGUUAGUUAUGUGUGGAAAAUUAUUUAUAUAUAAACAAGAGAUGUAAUAUUUAGAUAGUUAUGAAGUGAAAUAUUACAAUCAGUUUCUCUCUCUAAACUUUCCUCUCUACUUCUCUCUCUAAAGUCUCUCUGUAAGCUUUGUUAACAUGGUAUCUUCGCUGGCGACUGGUAACUCCAUUCGUUGACAACGAUCUCUGCACCUGUGCUUCCGCUCGUAUUGGUAAGUGGUGGUGCUUUUGUAUACUUCUCUGUCUUUCGGUGUUUGCUCAUUGAAGCUAUGUCGGUGUGCAGUCAAUGCUAUGUCGGUGCAGGAAGUCGGUGAUUAACUUCUUGAUUCUUGUUUUCUUUGAAGGAUUUGUGUUGUGCUUGUUGAAUGAUUCUUGAUUCAAUCACAUUCAACUGUCGGUGUGUUCUUGA
Molecule: long non-coding RNA, 3068 nt
Organism: Pyrus x bretschneideri (Chinese white pear)
Lineage: Eukaryota; Viridiplantae; Streptophyta; Magnoliopsida; Rosales; Rosaceae
Exons: 4
Source: RefSeq, a predicted model, not a curated record